AUGCAAUGCAGGUACAUUUUAGAAGCAAGAGAGUUGCCAAUCCUCUCUAUGAUAGACAGGAUUAAGGCACAACUAACUACUAGGAUGGUUACAAAAAAUGAAGAGAUGUUGAGCUGGACAUCUCCAAUUUGCCCAAAGAUUAAGAAAAGACUAGACAAGAACACAGAAUUAGCUAACACAUGUUAUGCUGAAUUAGCUGGAGAUGGCAUAUAUUCUGUGGAGGACAGAGGGUACACAUUCAUUGUUGAGAUAAAUGUGGAGAGCUGCAGCUGUAGAAGGUGGAAUUUGACAGGAAUACCAUGCCCUCACUCAAUAGCAUGCUUCAGAAGAGAAAGAAAAUCACCAAUUGAGCUAGUGCACAAGUGUUACUCCAUUGAAUCUUACCACAAGGCAUACUCUCAUUUUAUUGUGCCUUGCAAAGAUAGAAGAGAGUGGACAAAGAUGAAUGGAUGUCCUAUUGCACCACCUCUUUAUGUGAAGAAGGUUGGAAAUCCUGGUCAUAAUAGGAGGAGGGCUCCUGAAGAAGUUGCAGAUGGGAGAGGUGGAACCAGAAUGACAAGGCAUGGUGUAGUUAUCCACUGUGGGCACUGCAAACUACCUGGACACAAUAGGCGUUCAUGUUCUGAUCUUAAAGCUGGCAUACCCCCAUAUGUUCCUGCCCCAAAGCAACAUGUCAGGAGAAGGAGCAGGGCAGAACCAACUACUGAAGAAGAUCAAGAGGCAGAACCAAAUGUUCAAGAACAGCAAAGAGGAAGCACCAAAUGUUCAAGAACAGCAAGAGGCACAACAUACACAGGUGUAGGAUAUCAAUGA
This 813-nucleotide ribosomal RNA is filed under the name Triticum aestivum (bread wheat). Its description in RNAcentral is "partial small subunit ribosomal RNA". Lineage: Eukaryota; Viridiplantae; Streptophyta; Magnoliopsida; Poales; Poaceae. The record is from RNAcentral.